Molecule: ribosomal RNA, 475 nt
Filed under: uncultured bacterium
Lineage: Bacteria
Description: bacterial SSU rRNA
Rfam family: Bacterial small subunit ribosomal RNA
Source: RNAcentral
UCAGUCGACUCCUACGGGGAGGCAGCAGUGGGGAAUAUUGCACAAUGGGGGAAACCCUGAUGCAGCCAUGCCGCGUGUGUGAAGAAGGCCUUCGGGUUGUAAAGCACUUUCAGUAGGGAGGAAGGUAGUGUAGUUAACACCUGCACUAUUUGACGUUACCUACAGAAGAAGCACCGGCUAACUCCGUGCCAGCAGCCGCGGUAAUACGGAGGGUGUGAGCGUUAAUCGGAAUUACUGGGCGUAAAGCGCAUGCAGGCGGCCUGUUAAGUCAGAUGUGAAAGCCCGGGGCUUAACCUCGGAAUUGCAUUUGAAACUGGCAGGCUAGAGUCUUGUAGAGGGGGGUAGGAAUUUCAGGUGUAGCGGUGAAAUGCGUAGAGAUCUGAAGGAAUACCAGUGGCGAAGGCGGCCCCCUGGACAAAGACUGACGCUCAGAUGCGAAAGCGUGGGGAGCAAACAGGAUUAGAUACCCUGGUAG